GUUCAGGGAUGGGAAUCGAACCCACAGUGUUCCGCUUACCGGGCAGAAGCUAUGUCCACUAGGCUACCCUGGA
Molecule: transfer RNA, 73 nt
Filed under: Cordylochernes scorpioides
Lineage: Eukaryota; Metazoa; Arthropoda; Arachnida; Pseudoscorpiones; Chernetidae
Description: tRNA-Thr
Source: RNAcentral